GACGAACGCUGGCGGCGUGCUUAACACAUGCAAGUCGAACGGAAAGGCCCUGCUUUUGUGGGGUGCUCGAGGGGCGAACGGGUGAGUAACACGUGAGUAACCUGCCCUUGACUUUGGGAUAACUUCAGGAAACUGGGGCUAAUACCGGAUAGGAGCUCCUGCUGCAUGGUGGGCGUUGGAAAGUUUCGGCGGUUGGUGAUGGACUCGCGGCUGCUCAGCUUGUUGGUGGGGUAGUGGCUUACCAAGGCUUUGACGGGUAGCCGGCCUGAGAGGGUGGCAGGCCACAUUGGGACUGGGAUGAGGCCCAGACUCCUACGGGAGGCAGCAGUGGAGAAUAGUGCACAAUGGGCGGAAGCAUGAUGCAGCAACGCCGCGUGCGGGAUGACGGCCUUGGGGUUGUAAACCGCUUUCGCCUGUGACGAAGCGUGAGUGACGGUAAUGGGUAAAGAAGCACCGGCUAACUACGUG
This 468-nucleotide ribosomal RNA is filed under the name uncultured bacterium. Its description in RNAcentral is "partial 16S ribosomal RNA". It matches the Rfam family "Bacterial small subunit ribosomal RNA", at positions 28 to 507 of the family's 1533-position model. The record is from RNAcentral.